This 225-nucleotide long non-coding RNA is filed under the name Mytilus galloprovincialis (Mediterranean mussel). Lineage: Eukaryota; Metazoa; Mollusca; Bivalvia; Mytilida; Mytilidae. The record is from RNAcentral.
GAAUUUUACAUUUGUUAGAGAUACAUGAAGUACCGGUACCUUAUCCCGGCCUCGUUAACGUUAGUAUAUAGCAUUUCAUUGAUAAGUUAGUACUUGUUAGUGCACAAUAUAUAUAUAUAUAUAUAUAGUUAUAAUGACAUGUAUGUAACUGAAUAGAAAUAUGAUAACAUGAUGUAUUAUAAAUUCUAAUUUAUGAAAUUAAUUUAAUUUUUGCUGCAACCAGAU